GGUAGCGUGGCCGAGUGGUCUAAGGUGCUGGAUUUAGGCUCUAGUCUCCCCGGGGGUGUGGGUUCAAGUCCCACCGCUGCCU
Molecule: non-coding RNA, 82 nt
Organism: Sinocyclocheilus grahami
Lineage: Eukaryota; Metazoa; Chordata; Actinopteri; Cypriniformes; Cyprinidae
Source: the annotation of a RefSeq genome assembly